AUUGAACGCUGGCGGCAUGCCUUACACAUGCAAGUCGAACGGCAGCACGGGUGCUUGUCCUUGGUGGCGAGUGGCGCGCGGGUGAGUAAUCCAUCGGUACACGUCCUGUAGUGGGAGAUCGCCCGGAGAAAGGCGGAUAAAUCCCGCAUACGAUGUACGGAAGAGAGGGGGGGCCCUGCACCCCUCGCGCUCUCGGGUUGGUAGAUGGCUGAUUAGCUAGUUGGUGGGGUAAAGGCCUACCAAGGCGACGAUCAGUAGCUGGUCUGAGAGGACGACCAGCCACACUGGGACUGAGACACGGCCCAGACUCCUACGGGAGGCAGCAGUGGGGAAUUUUGGACAAUGGGCGAAAGCCUGAUCCAGCAAUGCCGCGUGUGUGAAGAAGGCCUUCGGGUUGUAAAGCACUUUUGUCCGGAAAGAAAUGCUUUGCGCUAAUACCGUGGGGUGAUGACGGUACCGGAAGAAUAAGCACCGGCUAACUACGUG
RNAcentral lists this ribosomal RNA (486 nucleotides) under uncultured bacterium. Its description in RNAcentral is "partial 16S ribosomal RNA". It matches the Rfam family "Bacterial small subunit ribosomal RNA", at positions 30 to 507 of the family's 1533-position model. The record is from RNAcentral.